UUAAAAAAUUAUAAAUCAAGCACAGAAACACCGUUAUUAGUAAUGAUGGUUCAUACGACUUGUAUAUUAAUUAAACAUGCGUUCACAUUUUUUUCUUAAGUUUUUAAUUAUUUUUUUCUUUCACUUUGAUAUUCAUUGUCAUUUUUGUUUGUUUGAUAUAUCAUCUAAUCAAGCGUAUCACCAUCCUAUCGUAUCUCAAUGAGAAGCUAAAAUCCAUCACAACACCCCUCCCCCGCCGCGAAUCUCAGAAAACCAAUUUAACAUGUUUAAUGAAUUAAAGAAAUUGUGAUUUUAACUUAAAAAUGUUAUCCGUUCCGUCCCGUUUUCCGUUCCGCAUUUUAGCAACACCCUGCAGGCCACGUUAGCGGGUAUUAGUUUUACCCAGUUAACUUGCACGUGCUAGUGAUGUACUUUCCGGUGUUUUCCAUAUGCAGAAAAGGAUUAAUUAACACGGAUAAACGUUUCUUUUGUGAUGAUAAGCAAAAAGGAUCCAUAUUGUGCUCUUAUUGGAUUAUCAUUGUGAUGUUGACCAAUAUAGUUUAGAUCACCAUGUAAAUUGAAAUGGAACUUCAUCAAAGACCCACAACAGUGAGACACACUUGAUAGUUUUUCAACACAGACACAUUUAUCCGGAAAAUGAAUCUGGCUUCACACCACAAAGUUUUAACAGGACAGAGACAAUUUGAUGAGCUUUCAUUCAAAAGGUUCCUCGUUGCUGAAUGAAAAUUAGGGCUGGAGCUAUGUACCCGAAUGUUAACAUUACCGCCUAUCGAAAAUGCAUGAGUGGACUAUAACCAUAUAUAUAUAUAUAUAUAUAUAUAUA
Magallana angulata is the source of this 823-nucleotide long non-coding RNA. RefSeq lists it as uncharacterized. The record is from RefSeq and is a predicted model, not a curated record. The transcript has 3 exons. NCBI's taxonomy places the organism in Eukaryota, Metazoa, Mollusca, Bivalvia, Ostreida, Ostreidae.